GGUCCACUAGCUCAGGGGUCAGAGCGCCGUCCUUAUAAGGCGGUGGUCCCGGGUUCGAACCCCGGGUGGACCA
RNAcentral lists this transfer RNA (73 nucleotides) under Candidatus Nanohalococcus occultus. RNAcentral's name for it is "Candidatus Nanohaloarchaeota archaeon SVXNc tRNA-Ile". It matches the Rfam family "tRNA". From Rfam's summary of the family: Transfer RNA (tRNA) molecules are approximately 80 nucleotides in length. Lineage: Archaea; Nanobdellati; Candidatus Nanohalarchaeota. The record is from RNAcentral.